Molecule: transfer RNA, 75 nt
Filed under: Rickettsiales bacterium
Lineage: Bacteria; Pseudomonadati; Pseudomonadota; Alphaproteobacteria; Rickettsiales
Description: tRNA-Gly
Rfam family: tRNA
About the family: Transfer RNA (tRNA) molecules are approximately 80 nucleotides in length. Their secondary structure includes four short double-helical elements and three loops (D, anti-codon, and T loops).
Source: RNAcentral
GCGGGCGUAGUAUAACGGUUAAUAUGCCGGCCUUCCAAGCCAGAGAUGGGGUUUCGAUUACCCCCGCCCGCACCA